RNAcentral lists this ribosomal RNA (433 nucleotides) under uncultured bacterium. RNAcentral describes it as "partial 16S ribosomal RNA". It matches the Rfam family "Bacterial small subunit ribosomal RNA", at positions 29 to 507 of the family's 1533-position model. The record is from RNAcentral.
AACGAACGCUGGCGGCAUGCCUAACACAUGCAAGUCGAACGAGACCUUCGGGUCUAGUGGCGCACGGGUGCGUAACGCGUGGGAACCUGCCCUUAGGUUCGGAAUAACUCCCCGAAAGGGGUGCUAAUACCGGAUAAUGUCUUCGGACCAAAGAUUUAUCGCCUUUGGAUGGGCCCGCGUUGGAUUAGCUUGUUGGUAGGGUAAAAGCCUACCAAGGCGACGAUCCAUAGCUUGUCUGAGAGGAUGAUCAGCCACACUGGGACUGAGACACGGCCCAGACUCCUACGGGAGGCAGCAGUGGGGAAUAUUGGACAAUGGGCGAAAGCCUGAUCCAGCAAUGCCGCGUGAGUGAUGAAGGCCUUAGGGUUGUAAAGCUCUUUUACCCGGGAUGAUAAUGACAGUACCGGGAGAAUAAGCUCCGGCUAACUCCGUG